CAGCAGCCGCGGUAAAACGGAGGGUGCAAGCGUUAAUCGGAAUUACUGGGCGUAAAGCGCACGCAGGCGGUCUGUCAAGUCAGAUGUGAAAUCCCCGGGCUUAACCUGGGAACUGCAUUUGUGACUGCAAGGCUAGAGUACGGCAGAGGGGGAUGGAAUUCCGCGUGUAGCAGUGAAAUGCGUAGAUAUGCGGAGGAACACCGAUGGCGAAGGCAAUCCCCUGGGCCUGUACUGACGCUUAUGCACGAAAGCGUGGGGAGCAAACAGGAUUAGAUACCCCAGUAGUCCCUGUCUCUUAUAC
Molecule: ribosomal RNA, 301 nt
Filed under: uncultured bacterium
Lineage: Bacteria
Description: partial 16S ribosomal RNA
Rfam family: Bacterial small subunit ribosomal RNA
Source: RNAcentral